CGCUAAGAAGCUAAAUAGUACAAGCGCCAGCCUUUUAAUCUGGAGAUUGGUGGUUAACACCCACCCUUUGCGA
Molecule: transfer RNA, 73 nt
Filed under: Lophonectes gallus (crested flounder)
Lineage: Eukaryota; Metazoa; Chordata; Actinopteri; Pleuronectiformes; Bothidae
Description: tRNA-Lys
Rfam family: tRNA
About the family: Transfer RNA (tRNA) molecules are approximately 80 nucleotides in length. Their secondary structure includes four short double-helical elements and three loops (D, anti-codon, and T loops).
Source: RNAcentral